UUCCAAUUUCGUUCAGAUCAUAGGACACCACCACAUAGAUGCCAAAAGAUAUCAGCACCAGGGCCAGCAGCUAAACAACGAUUCCACUUCAAGGCUUUUUGCCCUCAGACACGCCAAAAGUAAGGCACUCAAACGGGAUAGGCGCCCAGCAGGCUAGUCGGACUGGCGUCCGGGCAUGGUGUGUGAGAAUGAGGGAGGGAACAAAUUAUGCCAGGCGGUGUAAUGGGUCACAUGGAGGUCGCCCUGCGAUGGCUAUCCGUUUGUCAGAAAACCAUCCUGACAGGGAUUUGCGCAUGCGCUGUAGACAAGCCGGUUUACGUUGCACAAACAUCGAUGUGUCAACACUGUUUUCAAGCAUUUCCUUUGAAGUUAGGUAAAACUUAAUUGCCAUCGAUUCGUCUGGUUAGAGAGGGCAGUACAAUUAAUAGAACGUCAUUGAUAUUCCAAACUAGCCUGAUUAAUUUAUUAGCUAAAAGCAAUAGAGGCCUAGCAGGAACAGCUGCCAAUGGCACCCAUAUCGAUUGGACAUUCAAAAUGGAUGAGCCCACUAGUAAGUGUGAUGGAUAAAAGAAGCGCAUUAAAUAUGCACUGACCUUCAGGCCCAUCUGUUUGUUCUCACCGUUGCUUGCAAUUAAAGACGUAUAAAUAAACCAAACA
Drosophila obscura is the source of this 657-nucleotide long non-coding RNA. RefSeq lists it as uncharacterized. The record is from RefSeq and is a predicted model, not a curated record. The transcript has 3 exons. Lineage: Eukaryota; Metazoa; Arthropoda; Insecta; Diptera; Drosophilidae.